This 253-nucleotide ribosomal RNA is filed under the name uncultured bacterium. RNAcentral's name for it is "partial 16S ribosomal RNA". It matches the Rfam family "Bacterial small subunit ribosomal RNA", at positions 524 to 776 of the family's 1533-position model. The record is from RNAcentral.
UACGGAGGGGGCGAGCGUUAUUCGGAAUUAUUGGGCGUAAAGGGCGCGUAGGCGGCUGUACAAGUCAAAGGUGAAAUCCCUCGGCUCAACUGAGGAACUGCCUUUGAAACUGUACGGCUUGAGUCCGGAAGAGGAGAAUGGAAUUCCUGGUGUAGCGGUGAAAUGCGCAGAUAUCAGGAAGAACACCCGUGGCGAAGGCGGUUCUCUGGGACGGUACUGACGUUGAGACGCGAAAGCGUGGGGAGCGAACAGG